GAUGAGGAUAAAAUCAUUAACGCUCUCCGGGAGCGUUUCUCACGACGUCGGGACUUGAAUCAUCAAGCAGAAAAGUCGACAACUUGAACUGUGACUAGCGAAUCCGGUUUGUUUUUUUCUUUUUCUUUCUACGUUCCCAAAGAAAAAGGAAAAAAAAAAAAGUUUUUAACUUUUGAUGGGGAAAAAAAAAGAAGAUAGAAAAAAAAAUCCGGAAAUCCCUUUUUUUUUUUCAGCGAAGACGUCCUUUGUUGCCAGACAAAGUUAAGUAUCACAGCAUCCCGUUCAAACACACACAUAGCCGAAUCUAAAAUGUCAUUCUAAUAAUAAUGAAGCACAUUCAAGAUGGAAUGACGUCUAGAGAAGGGGGAAAAAAGAAAAUUUAUUUAAGUGUGUGUGUGUGUGUGUGUGUGCACUGCGGAUAUAUGCACACAUGUCCCUAAAGAGAAGGGCGGGGGGAGCAUCGAAGGUUAUUCGAUCCGCCGCGUGAAACAACAUCACGUCCGUCUCGAUGGGUAAACUCAAAAAAAACCCCCCAAAAAAUUGAAGCGUUUAUUUUAAUGUUUUAUAGAGUAUCGAUUAGACAGUCGUAUGCAAAUUUCAAAAAAUAAUAAAUAAUGGGACUGACUUGAUUGGUUCAUUAUGAAAUUGAGUGCUGUUUUACAGAUCGAUGCCAAUGCGGAAACGAGGAUCUAUCAGGUGACAUUUCAAAUAUUUUUGCUUUGAUGACUAUCCUUGACCGCAUUUCUUUUGCAAAAAUUCUAAACAGAUUGGCGGCAUUUCUAGAAAAAAUGAUGGAAUUCGUGACACUGGCCGAUCGAGUUUUGAGAUGUGUUUCGUCUCCUUUUCUAUUAAUGCGGCACGUGCACGUCCAUGCAAAAAGACUUGCGUGUGUUGUGAAACUGCUCCACAUCGAGUCCUGAAAGUAAGUUGGUGAACGACCAACUUGGCUCUCUCUCUCUCUAUCCGUGCGACACAAUCGUCGAGUUUGGUGCCUAUAGUUUUUAUGUUAUUUCCCAGUUUUUUAUUUUUUUAUUUCGCUGUUCAGGCAGUUAAGGAAUGGAGACAUGGCAAACUUUGCAGAGUAUUCUAAUCCGGGCUGUGUGUUUUUUUGAUUUAUUUUUUUGCAGACGUUAUUUGAAUAGAAUGAUGGGGUGUAAAGGCGGUGUGGCUUUUUCGCUCUCGUUGUCUGUCUGUGUAUUUAGCCGAUGGGAUUGCCGGUUAUAUUUGCAUGUUACGUGCUCUGUGGCGAUAGCAUCCAAUCGGAAGAGGCGAAAAACAACCGACAAUCGACCGAACAACAAUGGCAGCAGCGUUUUGAAUUGCAGGACAGUUGAUUCGGAUGCAUAAGGCAAGCAGCUGCGCAGGAAAGAAGAGGGGCAAAACAUGUACAUGAUGUAUACGAACCGCCUCGGGGGAUUUUUAUUUUUUUUUGAUGUCGGCGAAACAGGAUUGUGCAUCGAUGACGAUAGUUCUCGUUUUCUUUUUGAGGCAGAGGCGAUAGCGAGGAGGGGUCACUCCCGCAGCAUCGAUUUGCUCUGAGCUCACGAACGGACUGAAGGGGGGGGAGAUGAAAAAAGAAUCGACAGCCAAAGAGAGAGUCGUCACACGCAAAGACGAGACGGGCCAAAAAAAGG
RNAcentral lists this long non-coding RNA (1634 nucleotides) under Daphnia magna. Its description in RNAcentral is "uncharacterized LOC123471629". Lineage: Eukaryota; Metazoa; Arthropoda; Branchiopoda; Diplostraca; Daphniidae. The record is from RNAcentral.